This 460-nucleotide ribosomal RNA is filed under the name uncultured bacterium. RNAcentral describes it as "partial 16S ribosomal RNA". It matches the Rfam family "Bacterial small subunit ribosomal RNA", at positions 338 to 795 of the family's 1533-position model. The record is from RNAcentral.
CCUACGGGCGGCAGCAGUGAGGAAUAUUGGUCAAUGGGCGCGAGCCUGAACCAGCCAAGUAGCGUGAAGGAUGACUGUCCUACGGGUUGUAAACUUCUUUUAUAAAGGAAUAAAGUGAGGCACGUGUGCCUGUUCGUGUGUACUUUAUGAAUAAGGAUCGGCUAACUCCGUGCCAGCAGCCGCGGUAAUACGGAGGAUGCGAGCGUUAUCCGGAUUUAUUGGGUUUAACGGGAGCGUAGAUGGGUUGUUAAGUCAGUUGUGAAAGUUUGCGGCUCAACCGUAAAAUUGCAAUUGAUACUGGCAGCCUUGAGUACAGUUGAGGUAGGCGGAAUUCGUGGUGUAGCGGUGAAAUGCUUAGAUAUCACGAAGAACUCCGAUUGCGAAGGCAGCUUACUAAACUGCAACUGACAUUGAUGCACGAAAGUGUGGGUAUCAAACAGGAUUAGAUACCCUUGUAGUC